AGGAAAGUCAUGAUGCAUUUUUGCGUGGAAAAAUAUAGAAGAAUACAUCACGACUUUCUUGA
Molecule: microRNA precursor, 62 nt
Filed under: Tupaia belangeri chinensis (Chinese tree shrew)
Lineage: Eukaryota; Metazoa; Chordata; Mammalia; Scandentia; Tupaiidae
Description: Tupaia chinensis (Chinese tree shrew) microRNA tch-mir-9771k precursor
Source: miRBase by way of RNAcentral